AUACGUAGGGGGCGAGCGUUGUCCGGAAUGAUUGGGCGUAAAGGGCGCGUAGGCGGCCCGGUAAGUCUGGAGUGAAAGUCCUGUUUUUAAGAUGGGAAUUGCUUUGGAUACUGUCGGGCUUGAGUGCUGGAGAGGUAAGUGGAAUUCCCAGUGUAGCGGCGAAAUGCGUAGAGAUUGGGAGGAACACCAGUGGCGAAGGCGACUUACUGGACUGUAACUGACGCUGAGGCGCGAAAGUGUGGGGAGCAAACAGGAUUAGAUACCCUGGUAGUCCACACUGUAAGCGAUGAAUGCUAGGUAUAGGGGGUAUCGACCCCUUCUGUGCCGCAGUCAACACAAUAAGCAUUCCGCCUGGGGAGUACGGCCGCAAGGUUGAAACUCAAAGGAAUUGACGGGG
This 397-nucleotide ribosomal RNA is filed under the name uncultured bacterium. RNAcentral describes it as "partial 16S ribosomal RNA". It matches the Rfam family "Bacterial small subunit ribosomal RNA", at positions 523 to 918 of the family's 1533-position model. The record is from RNAcentral.